Molecule: ribosomal RNA, 419 nt
Filed under: bacterium
Lineage: Bacteria
Description: partial 16S ribosomal RNA
Rfam family: Bacterial small subunit ribosomal RNA
Source: RNAcentral
UGGGGGAUAUUGCACAAUGGGCGAAGCCUGAUGCAGCGACGCCGCGUGGGGGAUGAAGGCUUUCGGGUUGUAAACCUCUUUCGCUAUCGAACAAGGCCCGCUUAGGGUGGGUUGAGGGUAGGUGGAGAAGAAGCGCCGGCUAACUACGUGCCAGCAGCCGCGGUAAUACGUAGGGCGCGAGCGUUGUCCGGAAUUAUUGGGCGUAAAGGGCUUGUAGGCGGCUUGUUGCGCCUGCUGUGAAAACGCGGGGCUUAACUUCGCGCGUGCAGUGGGUACGGGCAGGCUUGAGUGUGGUAGGGGUGACUGGAAUUCCAGGUGUAGCGGUGGAAUGCGCAGAUAUCUGGAGGAACACCGAUGGCGAAGGCAGGUCACUGGGCCAUUACUGACGCUGAGGAGCGAAAGCAUGGGUAGCGAACAGG